GUCCGUAUCAGUCGCACGUUGCGCGGUUAGGUAAAGCGACCGUUUCUCUCUUGCACACUUGCGAGAGCUCUCUCUUUGUCUACUGUUUACAUUUUUUAUAUUCAUCUGUCAUUCAUAUUAGACGUGAUAAAUAGCAAAAUGUUUGUUUCCCAUGAAGUUUUGACUGUUUUCGCCAUUUCAGCGGUAUUAUCGUUUUCCAUAUCGGCAAUCCUGUUGCUGGUGAUAGCAGCUAAACGUGGAUACAUGAGAGCUGGUAAACCUAGAGGGGGGAUGGUGUUACUGUUGCCACCACCUCCGCUACCUUCGGCACCACCCGCCGUGGAGAUGACGCCGCUUACAAGCACGCCGGAUACAAAAUAGACCGUCUGAUUAUGACAUUAAUAAUUCAAUAUUCAAUAACGGAAUGUCAUAUUUUGAACAGUAUUCUAAGAUAAUAGGUGUAAACAAAAUAAACUUUAUGAUUAUGAGAUUUAUAAUUCAAUAUUCAAUAAGAGACUGUCAUAUUUAGAUCAGUAUUGCAACUUUAACAUAACAGGUGUAUAAAUACGAAAUUUAACUACAUGAUUAUUUUAUUGAUGAUUAAAUUUAACAAGGGAAUAAUAAUAAAAAUUACGAUUACGAGAUUAAUAAUUCAAUAUUCAAUAAUGGAAUGUCAUAUUCUGAUUAGUAUUCUAACUCUAACAUAAUAGGUGUAUACAAAAUAAACCUUAUGAUUAUGUAAUUGAUAAUUCAAUAUUCAAUAACGGAAUGUCAUAUUCUGAUUAGUAUUCUAACUAUAAAAUAAUAGGUGUAUACAAAAUAGACCUUACGAUUAUGAGAUUGAUAAUUCAAUAUUCAAUAACGGAAUGUCUUAUUCUGAUUAGCAUUCUAACUAUAAAAUAAUAGGUGAAUACAAAAUAGACCUUAUGAUUAUGAGAUUGAUAAUUCAAAAUUCAAUAACUAAAUGUUAUGUUCUGAUCAGUAUUCUAACUCUAACAUAAUAGGUGUAUACAAAAUAGACCUUAUGAUUAUGAGAUUGACAAUACAAUAUUCAAUAACGGAAUGUCAUAUUCUGAUUAGUAUUCUAACUCUAACAUAAUAGGUGUAUACAAAAUAAACCUUAUGAUUAUGAGAUUAAUAAUUCAAUAUUCAAUAACGGAAUGUCAUAUUUUGAUUAGUAUUCUAACUGUAACAUAAUAGGUGUAUACAAAAUAGACCUUACGAUUAUGAGAUUUAUAUGAAUACAAUUUACAACGUACUGAAAGUUACAUAGAAGAUAUAAAAUGGUGCAUAUGAUUAUGUGUUUGAUUAUUUAAUAUAUAGUAAGAGAAUUCCAAUUCACUCCAUAAUAAAAUUAUGUAAUUUAAAUUCUACAUUUAAUAUGAAAUAUAUUCCAUUGAGCAUUCCAAAUCAAUGUAAAUAUAAUAUAUGUAAAUAUUAUUUAUUUGAUUUCUGAUUACUAAAUUAUCAAUAAGAGAGUGUCAUAUAUUCUGAUCAGUAUUUGAGAAUAUCCACAUUGCAAAAUAUAUAAAAUGAAUUAUAUACCAUUACCUAUAAUUAUGUCAUUGAUAUUUUCAACGUAAAGAGCAAAACAAUGGGUUUAAACGUAAAAAAAAAAUACUCAAAAUGGUAUCCAUGUGUAUGACAUAAAAAAAUUAAAUUAAAUUGAAAAUGUUUAUUCAUUUAAUUACGCAUAUUUUUUUUUCACAACUACUAAUGUGUAAAUUUAAACCAUUUGAAAAUAAUUAAGAAAAUUUUGUUAGAAUUAGAAUGCAAAUGUGCCAAAAAUUAUUAUGUUGGAGUAGGUGCAAAGGUGUUCGAGUGGCAAGUGCUCCAUCAACAAGAGCGCAGCUCUUAAAUAGGAUAGAUAGAUAGAUGCAAACAAUGAUUAAAAGGAGAAUCUCUUUCGAUGUUAAGAAUUACAAGUGUUAUUCUUAUCAGGUAUUUUUUUUGAUGGGUGAUUAGGUAUGGUAACCCCGCCUGCGCUAACGGGAUACGCUGGCGGGGCACCGGUGAAGGGUGAUAGAUGAGAAUGAAAACAGGCCAGUUAGCCCGUCAUGAUGAAUUCAUCUGGAAUUAACCAUGAUAGUUUCCAGGGGGAACCGCGAGAAGUCGACUUGGUCGGGUAUAUUGCUAGCAAUGGGAUUCUCAGUCUCCAUUACUAACAAUCCCUUUCCCCCCUAUUUUUAUUAGGUUAUCAUUGUUAAAUAAUGUAUAAACUUUACGAAGAGGGAUUGUAAUGUUGUAUAUGUACUUAAUUAAACCAUUUAGUCCAUGUA
Molecule: long non-coding RNA, 2258 nt
Organism: Galleria mellonella (greater wax moth)
Lineage: Eukaryota; Metazoa; Arthropoda; Insecta; Lepidoptera; Pyralidae
Exons: 2
Source: RefSeq, a predicted model, not a curated record